AGCGAACGCUGGCGGCAGGCCUAACACAUGCAAGUCGAACGAACUCUUCGGAGUUAGUGGCGGACGGGUGAGUAACACGUGGGAACGUGCCUUUUGGUUCGGAAUAACUCAGGGAAACUUGUGCUAAUACUGAAUGUGCCCUUCGGGGGAAAGAUUUAUCGCCAUUAGAGCGGCCCGCGUCUGAUUAGCUAGUUGGUGAGGUAACGGCUCACCAAGGCGACGAUCAGUAGCUGGUCUGAGAGGAUGACCAGCCACACUGGGACUGAGACACGGCCCAGACUCCUACGGGAGGCAGCAGUGGGGAAUCUUGCGCAAUGGGCGAAAGCCUGACGCAGCCAUGCCGCGUGAAUGAUGAAGGUCUUAGGAUUGUAAAAUUCUUUCACCGGGGACGAUAAUGACGGUACCCGGAGAAGAAGCCCCGGCUAACUUCGUG
Molecule: ribosomal RNA, 433 nt
Filed under: uncultured bacterium
Lineage: Bacteria
Description: partial 16S ribosomal RNA
Rfam family: Bacterial small subunit ribosomal RNA
Source: RNAcentral